AGAGUUUGAUCCUGGCUCAGAUUGAACGCUGGCGGCAUGCCUUACACAUGCAAGUCGAACGCGAAAGGGGGGCAACUCCUGAGUAGAGUGGCGAACGGGUGAGUAACACAUCGGAACGUGCCUGGUAGUGGGGGAUAACCUCUCGAAAGAGAGGCUAAUACCGCAUGAGACCUGAGGGUGAAAGCGGGGGACCGGCGACGGCCUCGCGCUACUGGAGCGGCCGAUGUCCGAUUAGCUAGUUGGUGGGGUAACGGCCCACCAAGGCUGCGAUCGGUAGCUGGUCUGAGAGGACGACCAGCCACACUGGAACUGAGACACGGUCCAGACUCCUACGGGAGGCAGCAGUGGGGAAUUUUGGACAAUGGGGGCAACCCUGAUCCAGCCAUGCCGCGUGGGUGAAGAAGGCCUUCGGGUUGUAAAGCCCUUUCGGCGGGGACGAAAUCGGUCGGGUGAAUAGCCUUGCUGGAUGACGGUACCCGCAGAAGAAGCACCGGCUAACUACGUGCCAGCAGCCGCGGUAAUACGUAGGGUGCAGGCGUUAAUCGGAAUUACUGGGCGUAAAGCGUGCGCAGGCGGUCUCUUAAGACAGGUGUGAAAUCCCCGGGCUUAACCUGGGAAACUGCGCUUGUUUACUGGGAGGCUGGAGUGUGGCAGAGGGGGGUGGAAAUUCCACGUGUAGCAUGAAAUGCGUAAGAUGUGGGAGGAACACCGAUGCGAAGGCAGCCCCCUUGGGCUUAACACUGACGCUUCAUGCACCGAAAGCGUGGGGAGCAACCAGGAUUAAAUUACCUGGUAGUCCAACGGCCCUUAACUAUGUUCACUUGGUUUGUCGGGGAAGCAUUUCCUUGGUAACGAAGCUAACGCGUGAAGUUGACCGCCUGGGGAGUACGNCCGCAAGGUUAAAACUCAAAGGAAUUGACGGGGACCCGCACAAGCGGUGGAUUAUGUGGAUUAAUUCGAUGCAACGCGAAAAACCUUACCUACCCUUGACAUGUGAGGAACCUCUCAGAGAUGGGAGGGUGCCCGAAAGGGAGCCUCAACACAGGUGCUGCAUGGCUGUCGUCAGCUCGUGUCGUGAGAUGUUGGGUUAAGUCCCGCAACGAGCGCAACCCUUGCCAUUAGUUGCUACGUUUCGGACGAGCACUCUAAUGGGACUGCCGGUGACAAACCGGAGGAAGGUGGGGAUGACGUCAAGUCCUCAUGGCCCUUAUGGGUAGGGCUUCACACGUAAUACAAUGGCCGGUACAGAGGGCAGCCAACCCGCGAGGGGGAGCUAAUCCCAGAAAGCCGGUCGUAGUCCGGAUUGCAGUCUGCAACUCGACUGCAUGAAGCCGGAAUCGCUAGUAAUCGCGGAUCAGCAUGCCGCGGUGAAUACGUUCCCGGGUCUUGUACACACCGCCCGUCACACCAUGGGAGUGGGUUUCACCAGAAGUAGUUAGCCUAACCGCAAGGAGGGCGACUACCACGGUGAGAUUCAUGACUGGGGUGAAGUCGUACAAGGUAGCCGUAUCGGAAGGUGCGGCUGGAUCACCUCCUU
Molecule: ribosomal RNA, 1537 nt
Filed under: uncultured bacterium
Lineage: Bacteria
Description: bacterial SSU rRNA
Rfam family: Bacterial small subunit ribosomal RNA
Source: RNAcentral